This 357-nucleotide ribosomal RNA is filed under the name uncultured Anoxybacillus sp. Its description in RNAcentral is "bacterial SSU rRNA". It matches the Rfam family "Bacterial small subunit ribosomal RNA", at positions 1024 to 1382 of the family's 1533-position model. The record is from RNAcentral. Lineage: Bacteria; Bacillati; Bacillota; Bacilli; Caryophanales; Anoxybacillaceae.
ACGAGGGUGACGAGGUGGUGCAUGGUUGUCGUCAGCUCGUGUCGUGAGAUGUUGGGUUAAGUCCCGCAACGAGCGCAACCCUCGACCUUAGUUGCCAGCAUUCAGUUGGGCACUCUAAGGUGACUGCCGGCUAAAAGUCGGAGGAAGGUGGGGAUGACGUCAAAUCAUCAUGCCCCUUAUGACCUGGGCUACACACGUGCUACAAUGGGCGGUACAAAGGGUCGCGAACCCGCGAGGGGGAGCCAAUCCCAAAAAGCCGCUCUCAGUUCGGAUUGCAGGCUGCAACUCGCCUGCAUGAAGCCGGAAUCGCUAGUAAUCGCGGAUCAGCAUGCCGCGGUGAAUACGUUCCCGGGCCUU